AAGUCGUAACAAGGUUUCCGUAGGUGAACCUGCGGAAGGAUCAUUAGAUUGAAUUAUCAUUGUUGCUCGAGUUCUUGUUUAGAUCUUUUACAAUAAUGUGUAUCUUUACUGAAGAUGUGCGCUUAAUUGCGCUGCUUCUUUAGAGUGUCGCAGUGAAAGUAGUCUUGCUUGAAUCUCAGUCAACGCUACACACAUUGGAGUUUUUUUACUUUAAUUUAAUUCUUUCUGCUUUGAAUCGAAAGGUUCAAGGCAAAAAACAAACACAAACAAUUUUAUUUUAUUAUAAUUUUUUAAACUAAACCAAAAUUCCUAACGGAAAUUUUAAAAUAAUUUAAAACUUUCAACAACGGAUCUCUUGGUUCUC
Molecule: unclassified non-coding RNA, 364 nt
Filed under: air metagenome
Also listed under: 1 other name
Description: partial contains small subunit ribosomal RNA, internal transcribed spacer 1, and 5.8S ribosomal RNA
Rfam family: Eukaryotic small subunit ribosomal RNA (bases 1-46)
Source: RNAcentral